GGGGAUGUGACUCAGUGUUAGAGCAUCCGCUUUGAAUGCAGAAGGUACCAGGUUCGAUCCUUGGUGUCGUCU
Molecule: transfer RNA, 72 nt
Filed under: Sphaerodactylus townsendi
Lineage: Eukaryota; Metazoa; Chordata; Lepidosauria; Squamata; Sphaerodactylidae
Description: tRNA-Ser
Rfam family: tRNA
About the family: Transfer RNA (tRNA) molecules are approximately 80 nucleotides in length. Their secondary structure includes four short double-helical elements and three loops (D, anti-codon, and T loops).
Source: RNAcentral